This is a long non-coding RNA of Alligator sinensis (Chinese alligator), 215 nucleotides long. RefSeq lists it as uncharacterized. The record is from RefSeq and is a predicted model, not a curated record. NCBI's taxonomy places the organism in Eukaryota, Metazoa, Chordata, Crocodylia, Alligatoridae. The transcript has 3 exons.
AAGAGUGUGGUGGAAGGAUCAGGGUGCAUACAGAGCCUGCAUGCUUUGCUCCCACUCUCCUGCACAGAAGAGCCCCAGCCCUAGCCAGCACGCACCGCUUCUGGGCAGGGGCCACUGCUGCAGCCACCAGGGGAUUUGCUCAUCUACCCUGGCCUCCUGUGACUCCUGUGUCCUUGCUGCAGUGCUCGCUCCAGGCACCAGAUGGCAACCCCCCC